This 402-nucleotide ribosomal RNA is filed under the name uncultured prokaryote. RNAcentral's name for it is "bacterial SSU rRNA". It matches the Rfam family "Bacterial small subunit ribosomal RNA", at positions 355 to 774 of the family's 1533-position model. The record is from RNAcentral.
UAGGGAAUAUUAGAAAUGGACGAAAGUCUGAUCUAGCCACACCGCGUGUGCGAAGAAGGCCUUCGGGUUGUAAAGCACUUUUUGGAAGGAUUAGGAAGGAAUGUACUUCCAGAAUAAGUCUCGGCUAACUACGUGCCAGCAGCCGCGGUAACACGUAGGAGGCAAACGUUAUCCGGAUUUACUGGGCGUAAAGCGCGUGUAGGUGGUUCUGUAAGUAGGGCGUGAAAGCUCCGAGCUCAACUGGGAGAGGCCGUUCUAAACUGCAGAGCUAGAGGAUGGUAGAGGGAGGUGGAAUUCCGGGUGUAGCGGUGGAAUGCGCAGAUAUCCGGAGGAACACCAGUGGCGAAAGCGGCCUCCUGGACCAUUCCUGACACUCAGACGCGAAAGCUAGGGUAGCAAACG